This is a long non-coding RNA of Triticum dicoccoides, 919 nucleotides long. RefSeq lists it as uncharacterized. The transcript is spliced from 4 exons. NCBI's taxonomy places the organism in Eukaryota, Viridiplantae, Streptophyta, Magnoliopsida, Poales, Poaceae. The record is from RefSeq and is a predicted model, not a curated record.
GUCCUCUUUCCUUUUCUCCUUCCAGCUCCAGCUAGGGUUGCCGCCACCACCUCCUUCGGUCCUCCCAUCCCCAUCCUUCGCCGCAACAACGACCGCAGAGGAGCAGAGUGGCCGGCGGCAGAUCGGCGCGUCACGGGAGCGGACACGGCGGCCGUCACGAUGCAAAUCAGAGCGAAGUCGGCGCGGCGGCCGGGCGCGAUCUGGAGAACCAGUGGUGUUCUCUUUCGAAAUCUCCUAGCGCCGGCCCCUCCACUUCUCUCCUCCUCAUCUCCUGGCGUGCAUUCUGCAGUGGGUGCUUUGGGGUUUCUGUGGGGAAAAGGAGAGGAUCUGUGAUGCGUAGAUCGCCGGGUCGCACCACUACGCUCGCGACGGCUUCACGGAGCAGCUGCCGGAGAUUGCCGAGGCCACCAGGGGCAAGGAAACCCUCGUCUUGCAGUGCGCCUUCAGCCAGGAUACAGUUGAUGAUGUAGUUGGAGAUGGAUGGUUCUUACUAAGAUACAUCCGUAUAUGUAUGUGGUUUUGCUUCGGUUGAAGAUAUAUGUGUGCCUUAAAGACAUAUCAGAAGUCAAAUUUCUAGCUUGCAGGCAUUGACUCCGUCGCUGCCUAUUCGGCGGAUUGAGGCACCCAUUCAUCACAUGCGAGCUUUGAGAUUAUUUGGUAAUCAUUGUUCUUCUGUUUCCUAUUCCUUUGGUGUCAUUUCAGAGGUGCACUAGAACAUGCAAGCAUUUCAAAGGAUUAGAAAUGUUUGUCUAGAGUAGAGUGCCCCCUUUUAUCUUGGUAUAUGUACAGUGCUCGAUGCGUUAGUGUGGCCUAAAAUGUUUGAAUCUUCAAAUGUUUUGGAAAAUUAUUUUUAUAUUCAGAUGACUCAAUGCUAAAAUGGUUGACUCGAUGUCUUAGUUGUAGUACUGAUUAGAGUUUA